UCACCGGGUGCACAUUCGGU
RNAcentral lists this microRNA (20 nucleotides) under Brugia malayi. RNAcentral describes it as "bma-miR-36a". Its record names the gene bma-miR-36a. RNAcentral also lists the same sequence under 1 other name. The record is from miRBase by way of RNAcentral. Lineage: Eukaryota; Metazoa; Nematoda; Chromadorea; Rhabditida; Onchocercidae.